RNAcentral lists this ribosomal RNA (168 nucleotides) under Phaseolus parvifolius. RNAcentral describes it as "5.8S ribosomal RNA". It matches the Rfam family "5.8S ribosomal RNA". From Rfam's summary of the family: 5.8S ribosomal RNA (5.8S rRNA) is a component of the large subunit of the eukaryotic ribosome. It is transcribed by RNA polymerase I as part of the 45S precursor that also contains 18S and 28S rRNA. The record is from RNAcentral. Lineage: Eukaryota; Viridiplantae; Streptophyta; Magnoliopsida; Fabales; Fabaceae.
AUGUAAAAUGACUCUCGGCAACGGAUAUCUCGGCUCUUGCAUCGAUGAAGAACGUAGCGAAAUGCKAUACUUGGUGUGAAUUGCAGAAUCCCGUGAACCAUCGAGUCUUUGAACGCAAGUUGCGCCCAAAGCCAUUAGGCUGAGGGCACGCCUGCCUGGGUGUCACAC